UCAUUUGGCUUAAUCCAUGUUUCUGUUAAACACUUUACAUUACAUUAAACUUCUGAUCAGUAAUAACUUCAUUAACAAUUAGCGCUUUUGAUGCAAGAGAUCUAAUAUUUAAUAGCUCUACCUUUAGAUCAAAGGUGCUGGCAGUGGCUGUACAGUCAAUAUGAUCUAAUUUUAUAUUGAUUAGGUUACUGAAACAAACUCUGAGUAGUUCUACUUUUUUGUUUAGCUCGGGGAACAGACAUCUUCUCUAUGUAGUGGACCCUGAGUGACGACUCUGUGCAGCUAGCAGACAGUCUGUUUAGCCUGUUUGUCUGCUCCCUGGCCUUGGCUCUGGAUUGUCAGAAGUUAAUUAGAAAUUAACCUGUUCUGAGACAUGAGCUAUACUGUAAGAAAUGAGAGCAGCACCUUCCCGAGUGGGAUGGAUACCAUUCCGCCCUAACAGGCCAGCAGUGCCCUCAAAAUUAGUCCAAUUAUCUAUAAAGCCCACAAUGUUUUCAGAGCACCACCUGGACAACCAGCAGUUCAGUGACCAUACCCUGCUGUAAGCUGUAUCGCCACACCUCAUUGAGAUGGAGCCAGAACAUAGUACAGCAUCGGACAUCACCUUUGCUAAUUUAAACACCUCUACAAAGUUACUCUUAGUAACCUCAGACUGACGAAGGCAUACAUCAUUAGCUCCUACAUGGAUAACUAUCUUUGAGAACCCGUGCUUGCCUAGGACCCUAAGAUUACCAGCAGCUUUAGUAAAGUGUAUACCGGUGUCCUGGCUCCUGGUAUACACUUUAAUAAAGCUGCUGGUGCCCCUAAAGUCCUAACUAAUUUUACAUGUCAUGUGAUAGACUCCCCUAUAACCAGAGCUCUUUCAGGUUUCUCAGUGAGUGCAUCCCUAAGGAGAGCAAGCCUGUUCGACAUGUGAAGCAGAGAGGAGUGGUGCUCCUGUGGGCAAGCCUCAGCGGUAGCUUUGGCUCUAUGCUUAUGCUGCUGAGUCAUCAUCCAUUCACCCCGCUGUGAGGGCUCUAAUGCCAGAGUUGGGGGAUUACUAACUCCACCUAGGGCAUCCAGACUUUCCCCUGCAGAAACUACACUGUUCUCAUUCUCACUAGCCCUCUCUAGAGUCUGAAUACACACCUCUAAAGCUGCAAUCUUCUCUGUCAGAGAGCUAACUAAUCUGCACUUAUCACAAAUAAAGCUAUCACUAGCGACGGAGGAAGGAUGACUAAACAUCCUGCACUCAGCACACUGAACAAGCUGAAUGUGUGCCAUGAUGAAAAGAUUCACAUACCUUAAUCAAGGAUCUGUUGAUAUUAAAGCAGAUCCGAUGUGGAUGGCCUCCAUUUGUGGCCUUUAUGCAGGAGGAGAAAAAAGAAAGCUUCCGGUCUUGGCGUUCUUCUGAAAAAAUUUAAAAUGCGGAAAAAGGAAAGUGAAAGUACAAUAAAAAAAUGAAAAGGAUGCUGGAAAAUUAUUUGUAGAGAAAAUAGAAAAGAUUAGUGAUUAAUGCCAACACUCGUAGAAAAAAAGACUCAUUGCAAACAACUUGGAAACCAGGAAGUACAUCGCACAGAAUGCGAAUAUGCCAACUCUCACACUUGCACCAACUCUUUCGAGGCCCUGUAAUCGGAAUGAGCGCAUCCUAAACCCAUGGGCGAGGACCCAUUGGAGGGCAAGUCUGGUGCCUGCAGCCGUGCUUACCUUUGUCAUAAUCAGUUAUUGUUCUUUUUUGGGAAUUUCCCAUAACAUUCUGGCAUGCACAAAAUCUGCCUUGAACAAGUGCUGCCAGGCAAAACAAACCUUGCCCAGCAGCACUUAUUUUAGACCUAUAUGUUGAUAAUGGUAAUAUUUCUCAAUCAUCUUCUGUCAGCUUAUAGUCCUAUGAAAAUCCAUGACCUUGAGUUUGACAUUUCAAAGUCAUUCAAGGUCAAAGGUCAUGGUGGCAACUGAAAGCCCAUACGGGACUUCUUAUAUGUUGAUAAUGGUAAAUUUCUGGCUAUCAUGAACCAUUUUAAAGUUAUAGCCCUUUGAAAACCCAUGACCUUGAGGUUGACCUUUCAAAGUCCAAGAUCAUGGUGUCAAAUGAAAGCCCAUAUGACACUUCCUAUAAGUUGAUAAUGGUAAAUAUCUGUUUACCAUCAACCAUUUACAAGUUACAGCCCUCUGAAAAUCCAUAACCUUGAGUUUGACCUUUCAAAGUCACUCGAGGUGAAAGAUCAUGGUGCCAAAUGAAAGGCCAUAUGGGAGUUCCUGGGCUGCCAACUCUCACGCAAUGAGCGUGAGACACACACAUUUGACUGUCUUCACACGCCAUACCUCCGAUUUCUCACGCUAGAAAAAAAAUCUAGUUUAUCUAUCUGAUCUAGGCUACCCAUUUUGAAGCCAUACUGGAAAUGUUGUAAAAUAAAGCAAGUAAGAGAUAAUAUUACAAAUGCAAGAAGAGCCAUUAGCCACCAUGCCUAUUGUUUAUUUACAGGGUAUUUAUUUUUUAAUUAUUUAUGAUGUAUGUAAUUGCUCAGUUAAAGUAAAUAAAGCAUAUUACAGGUGACUAUCAAAGAACUUGACCGUUUUGCUGUAGGCCUGCCUACCACUAAGAGCAGGUAAGAGUCAGAAUAAACACAAGAAACUUGUCCUCCAGGAAAAGGCAUGUUGUUGUGACUGCGUAGAUUUAUUAAACCAACAUGACUAUUUGAAUUCUUUCAAAGGUAAGAUUUCCCGAAGGGUAAGACCACUGGCAGGACAAAAGCGGAAUAUUUUAUUUUAUUUGACAGUCCAGCCAAGCCAGAAAAGGCAGACAGGACAGACAGAACAACAGACAGAAGAGCAGCAUUCAGAACAGACAGAACGACAGACAGAAGAGCAGGAGACAGAAGAGCAGGAGACAGGACAGACAGGAGAGCACACAGAAGAGCAGGAGACAGGACAGACAGGAGAGCACACAGAAGAGCAGCAACAGACAGCAUCCCCCCCAGAACAGCAGCCCAGACAUGGCCCAAAGGGUCAUGCAUUGUCUGGGGCAGCAUCAUAUCGGUGUGCUUUUAAAAAUAAGUGGACCUCUACAUGGCCAUUCAUUACCAGAGGGAGCCUCAACACGCACUACUGGUGUGCAGUACGCCGUAUGGAGAACACGUGUUGCCACCAGGGUGUAGUGGAUGUAGUGCGCCACAUAAAAAGCAAAAGCCAUCAGGACAAGCAACGGGCUCUUCAGUCCACAGCCUCAAUAUCCCAAUAUGCAGUGUCUGCUCCCUGUGUUGGGGGGGAUGUCCGACCAAGAGGUUAAGGUAUGCUGUGUGUCAUGGUCCUGUCAAGGUUAGAGUUUUUGUGUCAGGUUGAUCAUGGUAUCAUCAUGAUUGACAGUCUUGACUAAUUCUGUUUUUUUUUUUUUAAAUCUCUGCAUUAUGUUUUACAGUUGAGUUUUCUUAGUUCUAUGUCUUAAGAGCUCAAUAGGGCACCUGUGCUCUAUUUUUUCUGGUGUCUCUUUAAACUUAACUAUGUUCUUUUAGGAGUGCUAAUAACUUCUUUUCUUACAGACAAGGAGGGCUGAGGUCAAAAUGACUGCAACUUUAGUUGAGCACAAUGUUCCACUGGCAUUUUCUGACCACCUGGGGCCUGCACUGAGAGAGUGUUUCAAAGACUCCAAAACAGCUCAAGAAUAUAGGUGUGCUCGAACAAAAGCUUCGUGUAUAGUCAAUGAAGCACUGGCCCCAUACUUUAUAGAGGAGUUAGUGGCAAAAAUGAAGGAAGCACCCUACACCUUGAUAACAGAUGGCUCUAAUGAGACAGUAUGUGCACAACCAGCAGGAAGAGCUGUGAGACAGCUGACGUGAUUUUUUCAAAAAUAAAUGCCACCCUAGAAGAGAAGGAUAUUCCUUGGCGGUACUGUGUGGGUCUGUCGGUAGACAAUGCUGCCGUGAACAUUGGUCUACACAACUCUAUCGCCUCCAGAGUCCAAGAGAAGCAUUUACAUCCAUGGCUGCCCAUGUCAUGUAAUUCAUAACACUGCAAAAUCAGCAGGGGCAGGCUUUUUUGAUGUGUCCAGUUUUGAUUUGGAGGACCUGGUAGUCGAUAUCGGAUACUGGUUCAAGGGUAGUACAAAUCGAAAAGGGUACUUGACAGAGUUUUGUGAGCUCCAUGAAACAGUACAUGGAGAUCCUCAUGCACGUCUCCGUUCGUUGGUUAAGUCUUGAGCACUGUGUAACACGGAUCCUGAGACUUUAUGAACCACUGGCCAGCUACUUCAAAUCUGCUAAUGAAAAGCAGGCGAGGUUCAGGAGACUUCAGGCAGUGUUCACUGGCCCCAUGACUGAGGUGUACCUACUGUUCUUCCAGGCCAGCAUACCAACAUUCACCACAUUUAACCUCCUCCUCCAGCGAGAGCAGUCAUCAAUAUUUUUGUUACAUGAUGAGAUGCUAAAAUUCAUUCGCAAGCUGUGUGCGAAGUUCAUGGUGUCAACAGCACUGCAGGGCUGCGAACCAGCUCAUGAAAUUCCCUAUAAAGAAAAGGCCAACCAUUUACCAGGAAGAAAACUGAACAUUGGCUUCACCACCAGGGCGAAGCUCAACAGGUUACUGGAUGAUGGAGACAUCACACCACAGCAGAUGGAGAAAUUCCAUGAGGCUGCUUUGGCAUUUCUGAUCAACGCUGUGGACUACGCUUUGAAGAAGCUGCCCCUCCAAGAGCCACUGCUCAAGCAUGCCAAAUUUGUAGAUGUCUGACAGAGGUCUGAAUGUGACAUAGAAGAUGUCCUUUACUUUGUUGAGGGGCUUCCCCACCUGCUCCCAUACCAUGGACCAGCGGAGCAUGAUCUACUGGCAGAGGAGUUUCUGGAGUACCAGACAAUGCAGUUGCCACCACUGCAGCACCCAGAGGAAUUUGAAAUUGAAAGCUUCUGGGCUGAAAUGGCUACACGGAAAGAUAAGGUGACAGGAGUAAACCAAUUUCAGAGGCUUGCUGUGAUUUCAAAGCUGGUCCUCGUCCUCCCACAUUCCAAUGCAGAUGCAGAAAGGGUGUUUUCUGUGGUGGGCCUCAACAAAACAAAGACAAGAAACAGUUUGGCCCUAGAUGGUACCCUUUCUUCAAUCAUGACUGUAAAGAUGGCAGACUUGGAGCCCUGCUUUAAGUGGGAGCCCUUGCCCACGAUCAUCAAGGCCUCCAAGAAGGCCACAGGCCUGUACAAUCAAGCACACAAAACUUAGGACUUCUCUAGCUUUUUGUGAACAUACUGUUGAAACAUUGUUCAAAUUCAGUUUUUUGCAGCACAUCUGCUCACUGUUUAAGCACUUUAUUUGAUUAUUUGUGUAUUGCUGUUUAUGUAAAUGUUCUGCUAAACCCAGUGGUGUGAAAACGCCUUGAAUGAAGAAUGGAUGUCUCUGAAAGACUAAUCUUGUAUCAUUUUUUGAUGAAACCUAAUGCUCCUCAGAAUGCAAGAGUUAUUCAAAACAUCAAUCAAGGACAUUAUGCAAUAGGCACAUAGGCAGUGAAAACGCAGGGAAACACAUUUUGGUACAAAUAAGUAGCCUAAUUCAGCCAGAAAUUAUGACAUUGCAUAGUCUCCUUCAAUUCAAGUCAAUCCAAAAAGAUUGAGGUGUCAGUUAAGAAACAUAAGUUUGCACAAAUUAUAUGC
Molecule: long non-coding RNA, 5612 nt
Organism: Neoarius graeffei (lesser salmon catfish)
Lineage: Eukaryota; Metazoa; Chordata; Actinopteri; Siluriformes; Ariidae
Exons: 9
Source: RefSeq, a predicted model, not a curated record